Long non-coding RNA from Sapajus apella (tufted capuchin), 112 nucleotides. RefSeq lists it as uncharacterized. The transcript is spliced from 3 exons. NCBI's taxonomy places the organism in Eukaryota, Metazoa, Chordata, Mammalia, Primates, Cebidae. The record is from RefSeq and is a predicted model, not a curated record.
CCUGUAGGGCACGUCUGCUGGUGAGAAAAUCUCUUAGCAAUUCUUGUUCGUAAAAGAUUUUAUUUAUCUUUCACUUAUGAAGCUUAGUUUGGCUGGAUAUGAAAUUCUAGGU